AGAGUGUAACUGGACAGCAUGAAGAGGGUCGAUUAAAUUCUGCAGCACAAAUGAACACAUUACCAGUCAAGGAGUUGUACAGAAUCCAUCUCCGUAAAAAGAUUAAAAAAACGGAUAAGGAAAUGGUGUACUUGGACCGCCAGAUCCAAAAGGCAGAUCUGGAAAUCGAGUUACUUAAAUACAAGUUAGAGAAUAUAAGAAAGACAAAAUAAAAUGUGUGACAUUGUGGUUGUGCUUUUAUUGAGUUAACCUAAAAAAUGGUUAUUACAUAUGAGAUCC
Scatophagus argus is the source of this 279-nucleotide long non-coding RNA. RefSeq lists it as uncharacterized. NCBI's taxonomy places the organism in Eukaryota, Metazoa, Chordata, Actinopteri, Scatophagidae. The record is from RefSeq and is a predicted model, not a curated record. The transcript has 3 exons.